AGAGUUUGAUCCUGGACUCAGGAUGAACGCUAGCGGGAGGCCUAACACAUGCAAGCUGAGCGGUAUUGUCUUCGGGACAGAGAGAGCGGCGUACGGGUGCGUAACACGUGUGCAACCUGCCUUUAUCAGGAGGAUAGCCUUUCGAAAGGAAGAUUAAUACUCCAUAAUAUAUUAAUUGGCAUCAAUUGAUAUUGAAAACUCCGGUGGAUAAAGAUGGGCACGCGCAAGAUUAGAUAGUUGGUGAGGUAACGGCUCACCAAGUCGAUGAUCUUUAGGGGGCCUGAGAGGGUGAUCCCCCACACUGGUACUGAGACACGGACCAGACUCCUACGGGAGGCAGCAGUGAGGAAUAUUGGACAAUGGGUUAGCGCCUGAUCCAGCCAUCCCGCGUGAAGGAUUAAGGACCUAUGGUUUGUAAACUUCUUUUGUACAGGGAUAAACCUACCCUCGUGAGGGUAGCUGAAGGUACUGUACGAAUAAGCACCGGCUAACUCCGUG
This 498-nucleotide ribosomal RNA is filed under the name uncultured bacterium. RNAcentral describes it as "bacterial SSU rRNA". It matches the Rfam family "Bacterial small subunit ribosomal RNA", at positions 8 to 507 of the family's 1533-position model. The record is from RNAcentral.